This is a long non-coding RNA of Triticum dicoccoides, 1872 nucleotides long. RefSeq lists it as uncharacterized. The transcript is spliced from 4 exons. Lineage: Eukaryota; Viridiplantae; Streptophyta; Magnoliopsida; Poales; Poaceae. The record is from RefSeq and is a predicted model, not a curated record.
UUUUCCCUUCCUCACAAAGCAAACGCACGGGCCAUGUUCUCCAGCUCCACACGCAACCACUCCUCCGCGUCGCCGCCGCCUCUGCCUCACCCCGACUCCUUCCGCAGCAAUGGCCUACCUCAUCUCCCCUCCGCCGAUGUGGUGCUAGCCACCACCACCGAGCCCUAGCAGCAAAGGGAGCGGUGGCUUAUUCCACGCGUGCAGCGGCGACCCCGGGAGGAGCUCAAGCCGCAGCGAUGGUCCACCGCGCCGGCGCCGUCGUCGACCGGCAGUGGAGGAGCAGCAGCGGCCAACGGCAGAUCGGCGUGUCAUGGGAGCAGACACGGCGGCCGUCACGGGCAGAGCAGAGCGAAGUUGGCAUGGCGGCUAGGCGGUUGUCCGGACUGGAUCCCGCCAUCACCACCAGCCACCGCCUCGUUUGUCCGUGUCCAUCUCGGCGAAACCAAGGGUCUGCCUCGUGUCCUGCGAGGUGACACUCCACCGCCACCGCUCUGCUGCUUCCGCCCUACGCUUCGCUCCCUCCGGUGCCAUCCUCACCUCCGACAAAAAGGACCUCUUGGACGUCAUUGCACAUGCUGGCCUCUUCCGACCCCGUGGCCACCGUGAUCAGGUAAUUGAUUUUGUGUUCCUGGGUUCGGGUAAGAAGCUAGUGACCUGCUCCAAGGACAAGGUUAUCUGGGUUUGGGACCUCGACACACAACACUGCCUUCAAAUUGUAAGGUGUCCAUCACAUCAAGAUAUGGUCGAUGGAUGUUGAUUCUAGCGAGAAGUUUUUGAUGUCUGUCUCGGCCGAUCAAGAGCUGUGGGUGUUCAAAAUCAGGCAAUCAGCUGAACAGGGUGAAGAUUGGAACAAAUGGGAUGCACUUCAGCAUUGAUCUAUUGUGAUUCCUUUUCCCCUUUAAUAACGUGUACGUAUAGGGUAGUCAAGCGCCACAGGAUAUCAUCCUUUGUUGUGGAUGAGAGUGGGAUGAUCAAUCGGAUUGCCGGGGUAGUACAACAUUGAGUCAUUGGCAGUUGGGCUCAACAAGGACAAGGCGUUGUUCACCAUAGGGGUAUUAGGAACAGAGAAAAUACUCACACAAGGCAUGGAGCAGCUACAAACUUGUUAAUGUUAUACACGUCAGCAUUUUCUUCUUCCAGUAUCCCGUGAAUAUUAAAAAUGUUUGCUAACUAAUAGUCAUCACAGUAUCUGAUAUUCGUAGUUUUAUAUAUCAAUUGACAGGUUGAUGAUUUGUCAAAGGAAUUUUAUUGCAAAUUCCUGUAGGCCUGAAAAUGCACACUAUCAUAACAGAGUAAUGUGCAAGUACACAAUGUCAUAGUAGAAAAAUAGAAUUUUGACUGAUUAUUUAACAUCACUGUGAGCUUUCCUUUAAAUCUGUGCCUUUUGAUUUACCCCUGCUAUUGUAUAAGUAUGUGUAGGUUGAUUUUGCUUAUUGUGUGUUUUAUACAGCGAGCAGCUUCCCUUGCGCCGUCAUCCAUCCACCAACAAGCCCAUGACCAUGCAUCAGAAAUAUUUGAUUUUUGGAGGAGAAAGGUCAUACAAGGAUGAGAAUGGGACACCAUAUUAUAGCGACGUGGUGAUUUUAUUCAGUUUAGUCAGAGGACAUACAUACGUACAAGUAGUUCCCUAAGGUGAAGGCCUUCCAUUUGCUAUUGCUGGCCAUGUAAAAUAGCAUGAACCUGAACCUAACUGCGAUUGGAUGUCUAAACUGAAUUGUUGCAUUCCUAGACAUGGGAAUGUGGAUCAGUUUUAGUUCUGAAGAAUCUGCAUACUUCUGGUCCUAUGUAAUUCCAAUUUAUUUAGACAAGCAUGCCAAAAGUGUUGAAACCCAAGUUAGGGUUCAAAUUUGUGGGGUUGUGCUUGCUGCUAAA